RNAcentral lists this ribosomal RNA (352 nucleotides) under uncultured bacterium. Its description in RNAcentral is "bacterial SSU rRNA". It matches the Rfam family "Bacterial small subunit ribosomal RNA", at positions 917 to 1271 of the family's 1533-position model. The record is from RNAcentral.
GGACCCGCACAAGCGGUGGAUGAUGUGGUUUAAUUCGAUGCAACGCGAAGAACCUUACCAGGGUUUGACAUCCUGCGAAUCUCUUGGAAACGAGAGAGUGCCUUCGGGAACGCAGUGACAGGUGGUGCAUGGCUGUCGUCAGCUCGUGUCGUGAGAUGUUGGUUAAGUCCCGCAACGAGCGCAACCCACGUCUUUAGUUGCCAGCAUUUAGUUGGGCACUCUAGAGAGACUGCCGGUGAUAAACCGGAGGAAGGUGUGGAUGACGUCAAGUCAUCAUGCCCCUUACAUCCUGGGCUACACACGUACUACAAUGCUACGGACAAAGGGCUGCAAGUUCGCGAGGACAAGCAAA